GUGGGGAAUAUUGGGCAAUGGGCGAAAGCCUGACCCAGCAACGCCGCGUGAAGGAAGAAGGUUUUCGGAUCGUAAACUUCUAUCCUUGGUGAAGAUAAUGACGGUAGCCAAGAAGGAAGCCCCGGCUAACUACGUGCCAGCAGCCGCGGUAAUACGUAGGGGGCAAGCGUUGUCCGGAAUGAUUGGGCGUAAAGGGCGCGUAGGCGGCCCGGUAAGUCUGAAGUGAAAGUCCUGCUUUUAAGGUGGGAAUUGCUUUGGAUACUGUCGGGCUUGAGUGCAGGAGAGGUAAGCGGAAUUCCCGGUGUAGCGGUGAAAUGCGUAGAGAUCGGGAGGAACACCAGUGGCGAAGGCGGCUUACUGGACUGUAACUGACGCUGAGGCGCGAAAGUGUGGGGAGCAAACAGGAUUAGAAUCCCGAGUAGUCC
RNAcentral lists this ribosomal RNA (425 nucleotides) under uncultured bacterium. RNAcentral's name for it is "partial 16S ribosomal RNA". It matches the Rfam family "Bacterial small subunit ribosomal RNA", at positions 354 to 796 of the family's 1533-position model. The record is from RNAcentral.